UCACUUCCGCCUCCAGCCUCUAAUCGAGAGGAGCUCUCGGGGAUUGCAACCUCAGCCGAGCUGAACAUCUUCAGGCAGAGAGAUUCUGGUUUACUCCCCAGUGGCUACGGAGCCGCCUUGGAGGCCUUGGAGUCGGCUCAGCUUGAGGGAUGCAAGCCAAAAGGGGCCCAGAGCACAAGGUUGAGCACUGCUGGGUUGGGGUCUCCAUGACCAAGCUGUUCUCAGCAAGUGGCGCCCAAACAUGGGCCCGAACCCGGGUUGAAGGGUCACCAGAGCGAUAGUUGGAGAACGUGGAACUAUGCUGGAGGACACCUGAGUACUCUUAAGCAAUGCCCGUGUCUACAGAUGCAGAUCCCGACUCCUGCAAGAAGUAGCUCACUGUGAUAAAGCCACCUUUGCUUUUAUUGCCCUGGAAAAACAAAAAGGAAGACAUGCUGGGAAUAGGCCCCAAGCCUGCCCAUAAACAGGCCAUGAGAAACGUCAUAAACAAGAUCUCUGCAGCAUUGUGACAUGCUCGUGAUGGUUAUGAUGCACACACUAGAGGUUGCUGGUUCAUCAGAAUGAGGGCAAGGAACACCUGGUCCACCCAGGGCAGAAAACCGCUUAAAGUGUUCCUAAACCACAAACAAUGGCAUGAGCAAUCUGUGCCUUAAUGACAUGUUCCUGCUGCAGAUAACAAGCCAGAGCCUGUCCCUUUAUUCUCCUUAAAGAAUACUUUCAGUUAAUCUAUAUACUGCAGAAAUGAUGUUUAUCACAGGCUGUCAAUAAAUAGGUGGGUCAAACUCUGUUUGAGGCUGUCAGCUCUGAAGGCUGUUAGCCCCCUGAUCCCAC
Long non-coding RNA from Symphalangus syndactylus (siamang), 831 nucleotides. RefSeq lists it as uncharacterized. NCBI's taxonomy places the organism in Eukaryota, Metazoa, Chordata, Mammalia, Primates, Hylobatidae. The record is from RefSeq and is a predicted model, not a curated record.